AUUGAACGCUGGCGGCAUGCCUUACACAUGCAAGUCGAACGGCAGCACGGGGGCAACCCUGGUGGCGAGUGGCGAACGGGUGAGUAAUAUAUCGGAACGUACCCUGGAGUGGGGGAUAACGUAGCGAAAGUUACGCUAAUACCGCAUACGAUCUAAGGAUGAAAGUGGGGGAUCGCAAGACCUCAUGCUCCUGGAGCGGCCGAUAUCUGAUUAGCUAGUUGGUGGGGUAAAGGCCUACCAAGGCAUCGAUCAGUAGCUGGUCUGAGAGGACGACCAGCCACACUGGGACUGAGACACGGCCCAGACUCCUACGGGAGGCAGCAGUGGGGAAUUUUGGACAAUGGGGGCAACCCUGAUCCAGCAAUGCCGCGUGAGUGAAGAAGGCCUCGGUUGUAA
RNAcentral lists this ribosomal RNA (396 nucleotides) under uncultured bacterium. RNAcentral's name for it is "bacterial SSU rRNA". It matches the Rfam family "Bacterial small subunit ribosomal RNA", at positions 30 to 428 of the family's 1533-position model. The record is from RNAcentral.